RNAcentral lists this ribosomal RNA (771 nucleotides) under Mammaliicoccus lentus. Its description in RNAcentral is "bacterial SSU rRNA". It matches the Rfam family "Bacterial small subunit ribosomal RNA", at positions 59 to 812 of the family's 1533-position model. Lineage: Bacteria; Bacillati; Bacillota; Bacilli; Caryophanales; Staphylococcaceae. The record is from RNAcentral.
CAGUCGAGCGAACAGAUGAGAAGCUUGCUUCUCUGAUGUUAGCGGCGGACGGGUGAGUAACACGUGGGUAACCUACCUAUAAGACUGGGAUAACUCCGGGAAACCGGGGCUAAUACCGGAUAAUAUAUUGAACCGCAUGGUUCAAUGUUGAAAGACGGUUUCGGCUGUCACUUAUAGAUGGACCCGCGCCGUAUUAGCUAGUUGGUAAGGUAACGGCUUACCAAGGCAACGAUACGUAGCCGACCUGAGAGGGUGAUCGGCCACACUGGAACUGAGACACGGUCCAGACUCCUACGGGAGGCAGCAGUAGGGAAUCUUCCGCAAUGGGCGAAAGCCUGACGGAGCAACGCCGCGUGAGUGAUGAAGGUCUUAGGAUCGUAAAACUCUGUUGUUAGGGAAGAACAAAUUUGUUAGUAACUGAACAAGUCUUGACGGUACCUAACCAGAAAGCCACGGCUAACUACGUGCCAGCAGCCGCGGUAAUACGUAGGUGGCAAGCGUUAUCCGGAAUUAUUGGGCGUAAAGCGCGCGUAGGCGGUUUCUUAAGUCUGAUGUGAAAGCCCACGGCUCAACCGUGGAGGGUCAUUGGAAACUGGGGAACUUGAGUGCAGAAGAGGAGAGUGGAAUUCCAUGUGUAGCGGUGAAAUGCGCAGAGAUAUGGAGGAACACCAGUGGCGAAAGGCGGCUCUCUGGUCUGUAACUGACGCUGAUGUGCGAAAGCGUGGGGAUCAAACAGGAUUAGAUACCCUGGUAGUCCACGCGUAACGAUGA